GACGAACGCUGGCGGCGUGCUUAACACAUGCAAGUCGAACGGAAAGGCCUGCUUUCCCUUGUGGAUUGCGGGUACUCGAGUGGCGAACGGGUGAGUAACACGUGAGUGAUCUGCCCCCAACUUGGGUAUAAGCCUGGGAAACUGGGUCUAAUUCCCGAUAGGACUGCAGGGUGGUGCCUGUGGUGGAAAACGAUUUUCUAGUGGUUGGGGAUGAGCUCGCGGCCUAUCAGCUUGUUGGUGGGGUAAUGGCCUACCAAGGCGGCGACGGGUAGCCGGCCUGAGAGGGUGGACGGCAACAUUGGGACUGAGAUACGGCCCAGACUCCUACGGGAGGCAGCAGUGGGGAAUAGUGCACAAUGGGCGGAAGCCUGAUGCAGCGACGCAGCGUGGGGGAUGACGGCCUUCGGGUGGUAAACUCCUUUCGACCGCGAGGAAGCCACCUGGUUGGAAGGGUGGUGACGGUAGUGGUAGAAGAAGCACCGGCUAACUACGUG
This 494-nucleotide ribosomal RNA is filed under the name uncultured bacterium. RNAcentral's name for it is "partial 16S ribosomal RNA". It matches the Rfam family "Bacterial small subunit ribosomal RNA", at positions 28 to 507 of the family's 1533-position model. The record is from RNAcentral.